RNAcentral lists this ribosomal RNA (584 nucleotides) under Pseudomonas sp. StFRB292F. RNAcentral's name for it is "bacterial SSU rRNA". It matches the Rfam family "Bacterial small subunit ribosomal RNA", at positions 102 to 682 of the family's 1533-position model. Lineage: Bacteria; Pseudomonadati; Pseudomonadota; Gammaproteobacteria; Pseudomonadales; Pseudomonadaceae. The record is from RNAcentral.
ACGGGUGAGUAAUGCCUAGGAAUCUGCCUGGUAGUGGGGGAUAACGCUCGGAAACGGACGCUAAUACCGCAUACGUCCUACGGGAGAAAGCAGGGGACCUUCGGGCCUUGCGCUAUCAGAUGAGCCUAGGUCGGAUUAGCUAGUUGGUGAGGUAAUGGCUCACCAAGGCGACGAUCCGUAACUGGUCUGAGAGGAUGAUCAGUCACACUGGAACUGAGACACGGUCCAGACUCCUACGGGAGGCAGCAGUGGGGAAUAUUGGACAAUGGGCGAAAGCCUGAUCCAGCCAUGCCGCGUGUGUGAAGAAGGUCUUCGGAUUGUAAAGCACUUUAAGUUGGGAGGAAGGGCAUUAACCUAAUACGUUAGUGUUUUGACGUUACCGACAGAAUAAGCACCGGCUAACUCUGUGCCAGCAGCCGCGGUAAUACAGAGGGUGCAAGCGUUAAUCGGAAUUACUGGGCGUAAAGCGCGCGUAGGUGGUUCGUUAAGUUGGAUGUGAAAGCCCCGGGCUCAACCUGGGAACUGCAUUCAAAACUGUCGAGCUAGAGUAUGGUAGAGGGUGGUGGAAUUUCCUGUGUAGCGGU